AGUCAAUGAACUUGAAUAAGUAUAUAUUUUGAAAAUAUAAAAUAGAAAUUUUCUUCUAUUGACUU
This 65-nucleotide transfer RNA is filed under the name Passalidae sp. GENSP01. Its description in RNAcentral is "tRNA-Ser". Lineage: Eukaryota; Metazoa; Arthropoda; Insecta; Coleoptera; Passalidae. The record is from RNAcentral.